Molecule: ribosomal RNA, 746 nt
Filed under: Bacillus subtilis
Lineage: Bacteria; Bacillati; Bacillota; Bacilli; Caryophanales; Bacillaceae
Description: bacterial SSU rRNA
Rfam family: Bacterial small subunit ribosomal RNA
Source: RNAcentral
GUCGAGCGGACAGAUGGGAGCUUGCUCCCUGAUGUUAGCGGCGGACGGGUGAGUAACACGUGGGUAACCUGCCUGUAAGACUGGGAUAACUCCGGGAAACCGGGGCUAAUACCGGAUGCUUGUUUGAACCGCAUGGUUCAAACAUAAAAGGUGGCUUCGGCUACCACUUACAGAUGGACCCGCGGCGCAUUAGCUAGUUGGUGAGGUAAUGGCUCACCAAGGCAACGAUGCGUAGCCGACCUGAGAGGGUGAUCGGCCACACUGGGACUGAGACACGGCCCAGACUCCUACGGGAGGCAGCAGUAGGGAAUCUUCCGCAAUGGACGAAAGUCUGACGGAGCAACGCCGCGUGAGUGAUGAAGGUUUUCGGAUCGUAAAGCUCUGUUGUUAGGGAAGAACAAGUACCGUUCGAAUAGGGCGGUACCUUGACGGUACCUAACCAGAAAGCCACGGCUAACUACGUGCCAGCAGCCGCGGUAAUACGUAGGUGGCAAGCGUUGUCCGGAAUUAUUGGGCGUAAAGGGCUCGCAGGCGGUUUCUUAAGUCUGAUGUGAAAGCCCCCGGCUCAACCGGGGAGGGUCAUUGGAAACUGGGGAACUUGAGUGCAGAAGAGGAGAGUGGAAUUCCACGUGUAGCGGUGAAAUGCGUAGAGAUGUGGAGGAACACCAGUGGCGAAGGCGACUCUCUGGUCUGUAACUGACGCUGAGGAGCGAAAGCGUGGGGAGCGAACAGGAUUAGAUACCCUG